RNAcentral lists this ribosomal RNA (253 nucleotides) under uncultured bacterium. RNAcentral describes it as "partial 16S ribosomal RNA". It matches the Rfam family "Bacterial small subunit ribosomal RNA", at positions 524 to 776 of the family's 1533-position model. The record is from RNAcentral.
UACGUAGGCAGCGAGCGUUGUUCGGAAUUACUGGGCGUAAAGAGUGUGUAGGCGGUGCUCCCAGUCUGUUGUGAAAUCUCCCGGCUUAACUGGGAGGGUGCAGCGGAAACUAGAGUGCUAGAGGGUGGGAGAGGUAAGCGGAAUUCCUGGUGUAGCGGUGAAAUGCGUAGAGAUCCGGAAGAACACCGGUGGCGAAGGCGGCCUGCUGGGCAGUGGCUGACGCUGAGGCGCGAAAGCGUGGGUAGCAAACAGG